This 474-nucleotide ribosomal RNA is filed under the name Pseudolycoriella jaschhofi. Its description in RNAcentral is "partial large subunit ribosomal RNA". The record is from RNAcentral. Lineage: Eukaryota; Metazoa; Arthropoda; Insecta; Diptera; Sciaridae.
GUCUUUUUGAUUUUUAUUAAAAGUUUAACCUGCCCAUUGAAAAUUUUUAAAAGGCUGCAGUAUUUUGACUGUACAAAGGUAGCAUAAUCAUUAGUUUUUUAAUUGAAAACUUGUAUGAAUGGUUGAAUGAGAAAUUAACUUUUUUAAAAAAAUAAUUGAAUUUUACUUUUUAAUUAAAAGGUUAAAAUAAAUUUAAAAGACGAGAAGACCCUAUAGAGUUUUAUAAUUUUUAUUUAAUAUUUUAAAAAGAUAAAUUUAAAUUUUAUAAAAAAAAUUAUUUUGUUGGGGUGAUUAUAAAAUUUAAGAAACUUUUAUUUUUUUUUACAUUAAUAUAUGAUUUUAUGAACCAUUAUUUAAUGAUUAAAAAUUUAAAUUACCUUAGGGAUAACAGCGUAAUUUUUUUUUCAAGUUCAUAUUAAUAAAAAAUUUUGCGACCUCGAUGUUGGAUUAAGAUUUAAUUUUAGGUGCAGCAGU